UAAUACGGAGGGUGCGAGCGUUAUCCGGAAUUAUUGGGUUUAAAGGGUGCGUAGGCGGAAAUUUAAGUCAGUGGUGAAAUCCUACAGCUCAACUGUGGAAUUGCCAUUGAUACUGAAUUUCUUGAAUCUGAUUGAAGUAGGCGGAAUAUGACAUGUAGCGGUGAAAUGCAUAGAGAUGUCAUAGAACACCGAUAGCGAAGGCAGCUUACUAAGUCAGUAUUGACGCUAAUGCACGAAAGCGUGGGGAGCGAACAGGAUUAGAUACCCUGGUAGUCCACGCUGUAAACGAUGAUUACUCGCUAUUGGCGAUACACUGUCAGUGGUUAAGCGAAAGUGAUAAGUAAUCCACCUGGGGAGUACGAUCGCAAGGUUG
RNAcentral lists this ribosomal RNA (373 nucleotides) under uncultured Bacteroidota bacterium. RNAcentral describes it as "bacterial SSU rRNA". It matches the Rfam family "Bacterial small subunit ribosomal RNA", at positions 521 to 896 of the family's 1533-position model. The record is from RNAcentral. Lineage: Bacteria; Pseudomonadati; Bacteroidota.